CUAGAGUUUGAUUAUGGCUCAGGAUGAACGCUGGCGGUAUGCUUAACACAUGCAAGUCGAACGGAGUGCUUCGGCACUUAGUGGCGGACGGGUGAGUAACGCGUGAGAAUCUGGCAAAAGGUUCGGGACAACAGUUGGAAACGACUGCUAAUACCGGAUGUGCCUGUGGGUGAAAGAUUAAUCGCCUUUUGAUGAGCUCGCGUCUGAUUAGCUAGUUGGUGUGGUAAGAGCGCACCAAGGCGACGAUCAGUAGCUGGUCUGAGAGGAUGACCAGUCACACUGGGACUGAGACACGGCCCAGACUCCUACGGGAGGCAGCAGUGGGGAAUUUUCCGCAAUGGGCGAAAGCCUGACGGAGCAAUACCGCGUGAGGGAGGAAGGCUCUUGGGUUGUAAACCUCUUUUCUCAGGGAAUAAGAAAGUGAAGGUACCUGAGGAAUCAGCAUCGGCUAACUCCGUGCCAGCAGCCGCGGUAAU
RNAcentral lists this ribosomal RNA (476 nucleotides) under uncultured cyanobacterium. RNAcentral describes it as "bacterial SSU rRNA". It matches the Rfam family "Bacterial small subunit ribosomal RNA", at positions 1 to 524 of the family's 1533-position model. The record is from RNAcentral. Lineage: Bacteria; Bacillati; Cyanobacteriota.